Molecule: ribosomal RNA, 253 nt
Filed under: uncultured bacterium
Lineage: Bacteria
Description: partial 16S ribosomal RNA
Rfam family: Bacterial small subunit ribosomal RNA
Source: RNAcentral
UACGUAGGGGGCAAGCGUUGUCCGGAAUUAUUGGGCGUAAAGAGCGUGUAGGCGGCUCGGUAAGUCUGCUGUGAAAGUCCAAGGCUCAACCUUGGAAUGCCGGUGGAUACUGUCGAGCUCGAGUCCGGAAGAGGCGAGUGGAAUUCCUGGUGUAGCGGUGAAAUGCGCAGAUAUCAGGAAGAACACCCGUGGCGAAGGCGGCUCUCUGGGACGGUACUGACGCUGAGACGCGAAAGCGUGGGGAGCGAACAGG